Molecule: ribosomal RNA, 1380 nt
Filed under: marine metagenome
Description: bacterial LSU rRNA
Rfam family: Bacterial large subunit ribosomal RNA
Source: RNAcentral
AUCUUUUAUGUUUGACUGAGGGGUGAGAGAACUAUGAAGUUAGCUUCGUAGAAUUCUGUUGAGUCUAUACUGCCAAGAAAAGCCUCGUUGAUUAGAUUUUUUGAAGACCGUACCGCAAACCAACACAGGUAGACAGGGAUAAACGUCCCAAGGCCUUCGAGAGAACCAUCGUUAAGGAACUCGGCAAAUUGACCCCGUAACUUAGGGAGAAGGGGGACCUUUUAUGUAUAUGAGCUUGCCUCAAAAAGCAUUAAAGGUAGCAUAAAAUAGGUUGAAGCGACUGUUUAUCAAAAACACAGGUCCAUGCCAAAGCGAAAGCUGAUGUAUAUGGGCUGACGCCUGCCCAGUGCCGGUAGGUUAAGGAAGGUGGUGCAAGCUACUGACUGAAGCCCCGGUGAACGGCGGCCGUAACUAUAACGGUCCUAAGGUAGCGAAGUCCCUUGUCGGGUAAGUUCCGACCCGCACGAAUGGCGUAACGACUUCAACACUGUCUCAACGAUGGACUCGGUGAAAUUGCAGGACCGGUAAAGAUGCCGGUUACGCGCAGCAGGACAAAAAGACCCCGUGGAGCUUUACUGCAACUUGGCAUUGGUUCGAGUUUUAAAAUGUGUAGGAUAGGCGGGAGACUAUGAACUUCAGGCGUUAGCCUGGGGGGAGUCGCCCUUGAAAUACCGCCCUUUUUAUGAUUUGAACCUAACUAUUUAGAACAGUGUCUGGUGGGCAGUUUGACUGGGGCGGUCGCCUCCCAAAGAGUAACGGAGGCGUACAAAGGUCACCUCAGGCUGGAUGGAAAUCAGCUUUUGAGUGCAUUGGCAUAAGUGGCUUGACUGCGAGACCUACAAGUCGAGCAGGGACGAAAGUCGGUCAAAGUGAUCCCACGAUUCCGAGUGGAAGGGUCGUGGCUUAACGGAUAAAAGCUACCCCGGGGAUAACAGGCUUAUCUUGCCCAAGAGUCCAUAUCGACGGCAAGGUUUGGCACCUCGAUGUCGGCUCGUCGCAUCCUGGGGCUGAAGAAGGUCCCAAGGGUCGGGCUGUUCGCCCGUUAAAGCGGCACGCGAGCUGGGUUCAGAGCGUCGUGAGACAGCUCGGUCUCUAUCCGCUGUGCGCGUAGGAUAUUUGAAGGAAUUUGCUCCUAGUACGAGAGGACCGGAGUGAGCAAACCAAUGGUGUAUCGGUUGUGACGCCAGUCGCAUUGCCGAGUAGCUAAGUUUGUUAGGGAUAAGCGCUGAAAGCAUCUAAGUACGAAGCCCCUCCUGAGAUAAGAUAUCCCAUCUCUUUAUGAGAGUAAGAUCCCCGGUAGACUACCGGGUUGAUAGGCUACAUGUGUAAGCAUAGCAAUAUGUUCAGCUAAGUAGUACUAAUAGAUCGAGGAUUUAAAUU